AGAGUUUGAUCAUGGCUCAGGACGAACGCUGGCGGCGCGCCUAACACAUGCAAGUCGAACGAGCAAAGAGGAGCUUGCUUCUCUGAGCGAGUGGCGAACGGGUGAGUAACGCGUGAGGAACCUGCCUCAAAGAGGGGGACAACAGUUGGAAACGACUGCUAAUACCGCAUAAGCCCACGGGUCGGCAUCGACCAGAGGGAAAAGGAGUGAUCCGCUUUGAGAUGGCCUCGCGUCCGAUUAGCUGGUUGGUGAGGUAACGGCCCACCAAGGCGACGAUCGGUAGCCGGACUGAGAGGUUGAACGGCCACAUUGGGACUGAGACACGGCCCAGACUCCUACGGGAGGCAGCAGUGGGGAAUAUUGCACAAUGGGGGAAACCCUGAUGCAGCGACGCCGCGUGGAGGAAGAAGGUCUUCGGAUUGUAAACUCCUGUUGUUGAGGAAGAUAAUGACGGUACUCAACAAGGAAGUGACGGCUAACUACGUGCCAGCAGCCGCGGUAAAACGUAGGUCACAAGCGUUGUCCGGAAUUACUGGGUGUAAAGGGAGCGCAGGCGGGAAGACAAGUUGGAAGUGAAAUCCAUGGGCUCAACCCAUGAACUGCUUUCAAAACUGUUUUUCUUGAGUAGUGCAGAGGUAGGCGGAAUUCCCGGUGUAGCGGUGGAAUGCGUAGAUAUCGGGAGGAACACCAGUGGCGAAGGCGGCCUACUGGGCACCAACUGACGCUGAGGCUCGAAAGUGUGGGUAGCAAACAGGAUUAGAUACCCUGGUAGUCCACACCGUAAACGAUGAUUACUAGGUGUUGGAGGAUUGACCCC
Molecule: ribosomal RNA, 817 nt
Filed under: uncultured bacterium
Lineage: Bacteria
Description: bacterial SSU rRNA
Rfam family: Bacterial small subunit ribosomal RNA
Source: RNAcentral